UAGGUUCUGUGAUGGUAUAUCUGAGGGGCC
This 30-nucleotide non-coding RNA is filed under the name Mus musculus (house mouse). The record is from RNAcentral. Lineage: Eukaryota; Metazoa; Chordata; Mammalia; Rodentia; Muridae.